This 51-nucleotide ribosomal RNA is filed under the name uncultured Thermotogales bacterium. Lineage: Bacteria; Thermotogati; Thermotogota; Thermotogae; Thermotogales. The record is from RNAcentral.
CGGGAAACACCCGGCUCCAUACCGAACCCGGCAGUUAAGCCGUCUCGGGCC